GAUGAACGCUGGCGGCGUGCCUAAUACAUGCAAGUCGAGCGAACAGACGAGGAGCUUGCUCCUCUGACGUUAGCGGCGGAAGGGUGAGUAACACGUGGAUAACCUACCUAUAAGACUGGGAUAACUUCGGGAAACCGGAGCUAAUAACGGAUAAUAUAUUGAACCGCAUGGUUCAAUAGUGAAAGACGGUUUUGCUGUCACUUAUAGAUGGAUCCGCGCCGCAUUAGCUAGUUGGUAAGGUAACGGCUUACCAAGGCGGCGAUGCGUAGCCGACCUGAGAGGGUGAUCGGCCACACUGGAACUGAGACACGGUCCAGACUCCGACGGGAGGCAGCAGUAGGGAAUCUUCCGCAAUGGGCGAAAGCCUGACGGAGCAACGUCGCGUGAGUGAUGAAGGUCUUCGGAUCGGAAAACUCUGUUAUUAGGGAAUAACAAAUGUGUAAGUAACUAUGCACGUCUUGACGGUACCUAAUCAGAAAGCCACGGCUAACUACGUG
RNAcentral lists this ribosomal RNA (497 nucleotides) under uncultured bacterium. RNAcentral describes it as "partial 16S ribosomal RNA". It matches the Rfam family "Bacterial small subunit ribosomal RNA", at positions 28 to 507 of the family's 1533-position model. The record is from RNAcentral.